This 120-nucleotide ribosomal RNA is filed under the name Phascolarctos cinereus (koala). The record is from RNAcentral. Lineage: Eukaryota; Metazoa; Chordata; Mammalia; Diprotodontia; Phascolarctidae.
UCAUAUAGCUAUUGGGUCUAUGAACACAUCCAAUCUUAUUUUAUUUCAGAAGGUAAUUAGGAUCAAGGCUGGUUAGUACUCACCUGGGAGAUCAUUUGGGAAUGCCUGGUGCUAUAGGGA